This is a long non-coding RNA of Drosophila miranda, 502 nucleotides long. RefSeq lists it as uncharacterized. The record is from RefSeq and is a predicted model, not a curated record. The transcript has 2 exons. Lineage: Eukaryota; Metazoa; Arthropoda; Insecta; Diptera; Drosophilidae.
CAUUGGACACCAGCACAGUGCCAGACAGCAGCUAAGGUGCUCAACGGAGAACAUUACAAAAAGGUUUUUAGUGAGUUCCACGUCCAUUUGCUUCUGCCAAUAAUAUCCAAAGCGAUAAAGCCAAAAGCGAAUAUGAAGGCUUUCUUCCCACUCCAUUCUAAGAUGAGGUUCCACCGAGCUUGCUCUUCGCAAAAUCGAACUUUCUGAGCCUGCUCUUGAAAGCUGUAUUCUCAUUUUCAAGUAGUCAUCUCCAACAUAAUAUCAUUUUGAUAUGUGUUUUAUGUUUUAUUUUGCACUAAUGACCAGGGAAACAGAGGAACAUUUUCAAUUAGUUGUCAGUCCCCAUGGAUCCCCUUUACAUCCGCCAAAGCAGUUGCAUCCAAAUAUAUUGCAUUGGCCCCUCCCGCAAUACAAACCAAUUACUGGACUUCCGUCGUUGCAGAUGCGUUUUAAGGUAACUCCCGUAAUACCAUAGCAGCAUAUUGCCGUAGCGCCUUUAAGG